GCGACCGUGUUCGCCAUUUUGCUUUGCCGCGGAGUUCGGUCUCUGUGAGGGAACGCGUGUAAUUUUGCGGUACUUGUGGCGUCUUAAUCGUAGUGUCUGCUUCGACAAGUUACCAUGAAAGAACAGUCUAAUAAUAAUCAGGCUGCGCUUUCAAUAAGCUGACGUACUUACCUGACGGCGCCUUGCGUAGAAGCACUUCUCGUCUCGUAUCCUUGCUUGUCAAAAACUUGAUGCGCGGAGUAGGGAAGAAAUUCUUGGAUAUUUGUGCUAUAGGACAGAAACGAAGUUUCACGUGCGGUGGGCUUGAAAUUACAUAAACAACACGCGUUGUCCUGCCUAAAGAGCAUCCGUUCGGUGUGUGAUCACGCAUUAGCUGGGUCCGACACUACCUUCGAUAGUUUAGGACGCUCGAACUGCUAGCACCCACCGCAUGCGAACACAGCAUGCCGUGCCGUGAAUAUACGUGUAUUUUCAUUACUGCGUUUGUGAAAGUGCAGACGCUUAUUAGUCAUCAUCAUUUAGCUGGCAUAGGCAAUAUGUCGUCAUUUCAGUCGCAACACAGAUAGUUGCCUCGUACAUUUGCGCCCCGUUUGUUGACUUGUCUGUGUUGACCGUCUUGCUCAUGCUGACUUGUACACACUGUGGCCUUCAUUCAGGGGCCCCGUGCAAAACCUGGUAUCGCAUAUUUGUGCCUGGUGUUUAUAAAGACGUAGCGAAGUUGUGUGCAUCAACAGCACGUGCACACAACAAAAGCUUAUGGUGCGCAGCUGCUGGUUGUACUUCUGUAAACAAGAUGCAAAGAACAGGUGUGCAAGACUGUCUUAUGCAACUAGCUGUCACAGUCCUUAAAGCAGCUACACCUGCUUCGAUGACGAAAGUGGAAUCUGCUGUUUAAUUAUUUUGCUGGCUUUUUCUACUUGAAUCUUUUCCCAUAUGCAUCUUAAGUACAGCGUGAAAGAAUGAGACAUUAAAAAAAGUGGCACAAGGUGCUGCGUACUGCCAUCAGCGAAGCUAAAUUUGCAGGAUUAGUAAAAUUCAAGUUAUAAGAAAAUUCAUGGAGAUAGCACGCAUAGUGGCAAUAUGAAAGUGAAGCUACCGUGAGCUGGCAAGACAAAACAAUGCAAUACGAUGAUAGAUGCAGAGUGGUAUUUUCAUUGUCUUGCGCACCUAAUUUCAGCAACGAGUGCAUCCUACAACUGUCUUUGGUCAUGGCAGCAGACCUUGCAGAUUGUUGCGGAGAAACGCAACACAGUUGCCACCACUGACCACAGCAUCUAAACCUUCAAACUCUGCAUGAAAGCUUCACUUAACACGGGCUCCGAGUAGCGUGUCAGCUUUCUCCUGCUGAAUAUUGUCCAGCAAAUAUGGUUGUGAUUUAAUAAUGGCACAGCUGCAUGUGCUUCUUUUUCAGGCAUAAAAUUUCUAUCUAAUUUGUCAGCCAUAGCACAGUGCUGAUUAGCUAAUGGCAAGACAAUUCCCCCCCCCCCCCCCCCCCCUUGUUCUACAUAUGCUUUCUUGAACUUUGAAAUACUUUGCCAUAGCCACUAUGUUUGGGACAUUCACGUGGUAGUUCAUUAAUAUGCGGUCACUGGUUAUAUUUGCUUAAUGAUGACACUACCUUAACUCCAUUAUUCAUGUACACUUGUCGACUGUUGCAUUAUCCCUUUAGAACAGAAGCAGCAGCCAUAACUAGUUAUACUACCUAGAAAUAUCUAAUCUGAUGUAGGAAACCUAGGUCAAGAUUUACAGAGAGUUUUAGCACAUCACUACGUAUACUACCUGCACCCAAAUUUGCAUGCACAGUUGGGAGUGGAGUUGGUAGGGGUAAUAGUAAAGCAAGACAUUGAUUUGCAAGGCAAGUUGAGUCAUAGUUAACUGCGGAGAACGCAGUGCCGAAAGACACAGACUGGACGAGCGCUGGCUGACAACUUAAAUUUUAUUGCAGCCAACCACUUUUUUAUGCAUGCGCAGAGCCAUAUAACAUUUCCACACCUAUCUGGCAUGCCAGAUCACCUGGAAAUGUUAUAUACCUUAUUGGCGCAACCAUUUGACGCAGUCUUUAACAUCACUUGUGUGCGCACUAGAACUGAAACUUGUCAAAAGCAACAACAAAAAGGACGCCAUCGUAUUCAUUCGUUAGAAAGGACACCAGUAUCAAGGUAACACCUCAUAUUUUCAGUUGUAAGUCAGUGCUCGUCCAUUGUACUGUGUCUUCUUUGUCCGUGUAUUUUUGCGCUGCUUUCUCUCCAGUAAUGCUACAACAGUAAUACUGAUAUGUUAAAUUACCCUUAUGUAAAUAAUCACUAAAAAAAUUCCAGAAAGUUUUACACAGUAAGAGGAGAAAAGUGCUUGAAAAGACGUGGCUGAAAAAAGCCAGGAAGCCUUUGUAAGAAUGAAAUGGCCACAGAAGAGACAGGCUGAAACUUUUGUUGUUGGAUAAAAGCAGGAAAGAGUAUGGCAAAUGUUCUUAGAAUGAAAGCCAAUAGUGCUGAAUCCUGGUAUUCUGUAUUGCUGCUCAACUGCAUCACGGAAAUGCUGCUAUUGCAGGUCCUGGACACUGGACAUGCAAGUGCCCUCUCAAGGAAACGCUUGGUCUGGAUCUGGAAUUUUGUGAUUUGUGACAACACGUGGUCUGACACGAGCCAUAACAGAGUGGGAUUCACAGCUGCUCUAUGUAAUGGGACAGGACGAAAACAAAGAAAUUAGGGAGCUGAAGGGACCUGCUUCAUCUUCACAAGUCAAGUUUUUAUUGAAAGCCAAGCACUUCGCAGUUCUUGCAUAGUAAUAUGUUUGUGCAGUAUGUUAUAUACCUUUAUGCCAUUGCCUCUUUUCUGUCGCACGUUCCUGCUUUGAUCGUAGUCACUUCGUUUUUUAUACUAGUAUUGCUCUUGGCAAUUUCUCAUUGUACUUCAGGUGUUUGGUUUUCAAUUAAAGGUUCACUUGUGGGAACAGUGCAUGUCAUGACUUGAGCAGAAACAGCGCAAAAGAAUAAGCCAUAAAUAAGACAAACAACAGUGCUGUUGAGUUUCUUAUGUCUUGUUUCUUUUUUUUUUUUUUGUAUUUUCUGCUCAAGUCAUGAACCAACCAGCCCAGGUGAAUAUGCUUCUGCAAUGCAUGGUCAUGUCACUUUCCUCCUUCAUUAUCCUUGUCUUAAUUUGUUGCUUUACUUGAAGCAGCUAUGAAUCUACUCCAGCUUGUUCACCUGUCCGUCCUGUUGCAGAUUGCAUUUGCUGCCUGCGUAUCUGAUGUUAUCAUUUGCGGAGCAUUUCUAAACUGAUUGGGACUUGCAGUGCAUAUACUGUUUCUUGACGUCAUCACCGUAUUGACUAGGCUGUCCUGUACUGCAGUUUCUCAUGACACUACUGGCAAUCAGAUACCAUAGCUGUCACAAGUUUUUCUGCUCUUGAGGCCCCAUCAUGCAGACUGAAAGUCUGCAAACAGCAGUGUUCCGAGUGCUUUCGCCAUGCCAAAGUGACAACAAUGGUCAGGACACAUAAUGAGAACAUGGACCUUAACAACUGUCCAAACGAAACAGAGGUUCACAAAAACAUGGAUGUGAAAAAUGACAACAAUGGUUGAACAAGUGACAUCUCAGUGAUGACAUUUGUUUGUCAAGGCGAGAAGUAGUUGUUGCCCUGAUGAAGCAAUGUCCCCUUGUUGAAGCUUGGCUGCAGGCUGACUUGUUUGCUCACGGUUGAUUAACAAUUGUCGUUAAUUAUGCCUGGCAGGGCUGCCAGAAGUGCAUUGUCUGUUCUGUGGGCAGCAUUGUACAGCUUUAUUGCUCAGUGUGGCAGGGCCCUAAUGAUGCUGAAAACAACAACAAAAAAAAGGCACCUGUAUGUAAGUGUGUUUUCUCCUCCACCCCGACCCUCAUUUUGUUGACUUGCCACUCCAUCUUCCUCAUUUGUAAUCUUGCUUGUCUCGUCUCUGUUCAUGCGCAUGUGACAUUUCAGUGCUGAAAUGUGGUCUAGAUUAUAUAUGCCUGUCGUGUGCAUAUUGCUUGGGAACUGCGCAUAUUUAGCAGUAGAAAGAGUGAUCUGUAAGGUGGUGUCACCCCUGUACAUACCAACCCUGUCCCCCCAUACCCUUUCUCUUACAUUCUUUCAUGUUUAACCAUGCAUUAAUCUCUCCUCUGAGAGCUCGAGAUAACAUGAUGCUGAGAAUUCGAAGUUGAAGUUUCAUUUCACUCAUACACAACACAUAAAUACACAAAUCUAGUACACAGACAAGAGUCCCAAAGUAUUAAUACUGAAAAUGGGACCCCCAGUUAGAAACUGCGGCAGAAUUGCAUAAUAGGAAGGACACUUGCACUUUGUCGCCCACAUGCUGCAUACCGGUCAAGCUUAGAGCAGAGCAGUAAUUAUUGCGCAACAUUUUUAUCACUUGUUUAAAUAAACAGCGUGGAUUAUUUGGAAGGAGUACUGAGGAAAAAUUUUUGUCUAAUUUUUUCUUGCUUUAUCGGAUAGCCGUCGACCCAGUAAUUAUGCUAUGGAGCCUCCAUUCCCCAAGAUCGCAACAAAUAAUUGAUUGCGUUACUUUUUAAUUAAAAACGUCCUGAAACACUUUCGUUCUUGUACUGCCGGUCUACCCACGACACUCGUGCGUGGCUGCGUCUGCUGCAUGUGGCCUUCAAGAUAGACACGUAACCGCAGAACAAAAAAAAACUAACGGCACAUGGAUGCACAGACAGGAAAAGAAUAGAUUUGCACCCAAGUUUAUUCAACACUUUACGACACAAUGCAUGCUGACGUGAACACUGUAAUGCCCUAAGGUGAACAGAAGGUGAGGAAUACAUAAAUAAAUGCCAAACUUUUCGCUAUCCCACAAACAAUCCAGAUCUGAAACUAACUAUGAUAUCAGUGUGUCAGUCAUGGAGGCACCGCCUCUCUUCUUGAUAUCACAAGCUUUGUUGCUGCUUUUAACUAUUACUCAUGCUCUCAUCUCUCUAAGCAUUACUGUGCACUCACCUCAUCUGCACGUUGCGUUCUUCCAUGUGUGUUGUGUUAGUCUUGUCAGAAGUUUAGCCUCAACAGCAGUGACUCUUAACAAAAUGCAGUGGGAUCAGAGACGACAAAACAGUUUUGUUCAGCAGAGGUGUCCCGAAUCACCAACAAACUAUGGGUCUCUUCGAUUCGUCAUCCUGGACUGUCCACGACUGACCAAGAUGCUGCCUAAGGCAACACCCAUUGACUGAAAGCAGAGCCUUUAGUACAUCUGGGGCAGUCUGGGACGACAAAUUCGAUAGGCCCCAUGCAAGUCUUUGAAUGGUUCAGACAGUUCAUCUUCACAGAGUUUGUCUUAAAUAGAAUCUACUGCAUUGCUCUCCCGGUCAGUUUGUUUGCUGUAGCCACUCUCCUGUCUGCAAAGUGGCAUUGUAGAAGACCAUUUGCAUGACUUGCAGGGGCCGAUCAGCACUGGCAGCAGCAGCAGCAAAGUCAGCAGCAGCAGCCUGGUAGGAAGCGGAUAGAAGUUACGGGACUUUUAUGCAGCUUCUGCCCCCAGAUGUUCGCCUUUCGCAGCUUGCUCCUGAGACACGAGCGAAAGCACACUGGGGAGAAGCCAUUCGGGUGCAACAUCUGCGGCAGGAUGUUCAGGCAGAAGCAUCACUUGGUUGCCCACAUGUCCACCCACCGGAUCCCGGCUAAUUCUUAAACCGGCCCGGCGCCAGCACUCACUCGUAGGCUGCUGUCCGGCACAGGAACGGUUGACAGUCCACCACGGCUGCCAGUCACUUUCAUGAAACGCUGGUUGGAUGCUUGGUCGAGGAACCCCGUAAUGUGCAGUUGGCCAGAAAAGCCUACGGGACACGGGUUCCACAGCAAAUGUGAACACGUGUUCUGUUAAGGCAUGGCCUUCUAAUUUAAUGACUCACUGUGUCACAGACCACUACAUGCUGAAACUUCAAAUUUGAGGUUGUGUGCCCAGACUAUCCUACAAACCGAUCUAUCCUACAAUAGAUAUCACCGUUCUGUCGCAUCAGCUGGAUUACUUGAAGCGUCAAACAUUACUUCCAAGACAAAUAGCAGUGCAAUGUUUUCUAUUUGUCCAAAAUUUGCUAAUUAACUUUGUAAUUAAUUGCAUGUCUCCAAUCAUAGAAUUGAAGUCAAACAGUAAAAUGUCCAUUUAGCAAAAAUCCUGUGCUUAACACCAAUUUUGAGGAAUACAUCUUCAAAAUCUGGUGAAAUGCAUAGAUAUUUCGUUUAACGCUUAUCAAAAGGUUGUGGGUUUCGUUCCUAAUUGCCACGGUCAUAUUCCGUUAGAGGAACGGAAGAAAGCUCAUCUAUUGGGAUUAGGUGCAUGUUAAAGCACCCCCCGGGUUGUUGCAAUUAACCCAGAACUUUUCACUAUGCAGUUCCUCAGCCUGCAUGAUGCUUGGACGUUGAAUCCCAUGAUUUGGUCAAAUUAAAAAAAAAUUUUUUUUUAUGUGCUGACUGAUACAUUAGUGCAUUUCACUGCAGGUGUUGAGGACAUAUUUCUCAAUGCUGAGCACAGUAUUUUGCCUGAAUGGAUUUACCUCAUUACUGCUUGGUUUCGAUUCUGCCAUUAGAACAGUUGCUUUAAAGUGAAUAAUUACAAAGUUAAGUUGUAAUACUUCUUUAUAGUAUAGCCAAUGUCUCUCUGCACUAACUCUUGCAGGUAGUGUCUGCCUCUUCUGUAGUAACUCGGCUCAUUGCGAUAACUACCACAGGAGAUUGUAAAUAAGUCUGUUUCCAUUAAUAUAGAUGACUCAGUCAACUUGUUUCACUGCUGUGUUCACAACAUUACAGGAAUUACUAAUAUAUAUCUAUGUAUAGGUUUUAUAAGCCACACCCUCCAUCUUAUAAAUGUAAGAACUCUCCAUUUUUCAGUGAGGGCUGUAGCCACAGUCAUAAGUUGAUGCAUUUCCCACUACACUGUUAUCCUUUUGAUCAGUAAGAGUCUAAGUGUUUUUUCUUUUUUUUUUUGUAUGUCUGUGUUGUGUGCGUUUGUGAAGACAUGCAGUGUAACUUUUGGCACAAAAUCUUUGAGCUGAAAAGAACCUUGCAUUUUUUUUUUUUUGGUUUAACAACUGCACCUUGACAUUCUGCACAAGACAUUAAAAUUAAAAUGUGGUUAUAAUGCAAGUCUACAUUUCCAUGCAUGCAUUAUAUUGUACUUUCUGUGAAUGACCUCUCUUACUGUAUCGACACUUAUCAUCUGUGUGAUGCAAGACAUGCUUGCUGAAAUCGUAAAAAUUACAAACAGUGUCAUUGCUUUGAUGGCAAUAUCGGAUUCUGUGCACAUUAUGAACACUUUAGUACAUUCUUGGACCGACUCAGGCAUUGCUGAUUGCUCUAGAAUGUCAAGUAUAAAUAACAGCCAGGUUGUGUCAACGACCACAUUUACUGUAUCAACACUUAUCGUCACUGAGAUGCAAGACAUGCUUGCUGUAUCGUAAACAUUACAAACGUUGCUGCUUUGAUGGCAAUAUUGGAUUCCGUGCACAUUAUGAACACUUUAGUGCAUCCUCGGACCAACUCAAGCACACCUGAGUGCUCUGGAAUAUCAGGUAUAAAUAACAGCCAGACUUCAGGAAUACGAUUUCAUUUGAGAACCGCCUACUAUAAUUUCCAGCACUACUGUUACUUAACCCCUAAUCUGCCAUGUGAAUUUUUUUUUUUUAAUAUUUAAAACUGCAGAAUUUUUUUGAGACCUGCGUAAUUUUCUGGCAAUGUUUUGUAAAGAAUAUGAUACCAGAAAUGCCUACUGCAUUUUUACUUGCCUUGUUAAAAAAAAAUAGCAAAAGUCAUUGCAUGUUAUGUAAUUGCCAAAAUUACAAGAAACAGCACAUAUACAAAUGUGCAAAAAUUGCGGGAAGUUCACUACGACUUGUCAUCAGCACCAGAUGACGCUCGUAAUGACGAGUUACGUCGUCAUCAGCAGCUGAGGGAUUAAAGGCCUCCUAAACCGCCCCGAGUUCGAAAAUUAGUAAAUAGUGUCUGAUGUGUACUAGUACAAUGAACGUAUAGGUGAAUUUUUUUUUAGAUUGGUGCCGUAAUAGGAAAGUUAUAGUGAUGAACGACUAUGCAACUGCCGCGGUUGCUCUCUUGCCCUCGCCACCUUUCUCACUGGCGCUCUAUCUCCUCACCGCAUACUUUCGCCAACUCCAUGCAGUACAGCAAAAACUACGUGUCGCAUCAACACACCAGAAGAAUUGUCUGCCGCUAAUCGCUCUCCGCGCAACGUCAGCUGAAUGGAAGCUUUAUAAAACGAUGGUGUAAAAAAAAAAAUGUCAAAGGUGAUUUAGCAGCCCUUUAAGUAUUGGUUUGCUUUCUUAGCGUAAGUUUGUCGAGUAGGGCGUUCAGUCCCGUUGGUUACUGUUUUUGUCAGUCACCGCCGCGAUUCCUCUGUUGCGAGCUUUAGGUCACGGGUUUCAUUACUGGCCAUGGCAUUCACAUUUUCUUGGGAACGAAAUGCAAGAACACUCGUGUGCUUAGAUUUAGGUGCAUGUUAAGGAUCUUUUGUUGCUUUAACACGUUAAACCGAACAACUUGAUUUGAUUAGUGAGAACUUCCACAGGUAUUAUCCAGUACCUAUAACAUGUUGAAGCCCUAGCAUUUCCACAUUUAUUAGCGACUUCACUUUGCUGCAGUUGCAAUAGCAGUUAUGCAUUCUCUCUUUCGUUGUCCUCUGCAAUUCGUUGUGCUGUGCUUCUGUCAAAAUCACUCUUAAUGCUUUGCAUGUGUGCAUGGUAAGUUAAUUUUGGUAUGUGCAGAAUCAGCCAUGAAAAGAAUGCCAAUACUUUGAGCAUUACAAUAUUACCUGUUUUUGUGUUCAAUGUGUUCAUUCUCUCAUGUGGCUGCUGCAAAGAUUGGCAUUCUGUUUUUAUGCUAAGUUGAAGUGAUUUGAACUUUGCUGGUAAUUUUUUGUUCGUAGUUUUAACGUUUGGUCUGCAUAAGCAUUGUGAUGACUGCUUCGAACUGGGCAAAUGAAGUGGGUCUGUGCGAGAGUGUACAUGGGUGUACCGGCGUCUGUGCAAGAGUGGUUCACACAAAUUAAUUACAUUUUGAUACAUAUUGGAUACAUACAUAUUGGAUACAUAUUGAUACAUACAAUACGCAUAUUGCAGAUGCAGAAGUGUAGCUGUAGUGUCUGUUAAGCCAGGUGUCCUUGUGUUUAAUAGAUGGCAUUUACUGCGCAUGUGUUUGUGUCUUGAUGCCAAGUUUUGAGUGUUUUAUCGCCGAGAGGCUUCUGGAUGCAAAGCUCUGUGUGUUCAUAUUUAUUAAAUACCACACUACACAAGACUCGCGUUCAGCUGUUGAGGUUAACAGGCAUUGUGUAGCCAUUUGGGCCUUUGUGUGAUAUGUGUCAUCGAAAUAAACGCAAGGAGCCCAAUUCAAACAGGUGUUCGUCAUGGUGGCUCAGAGGCUGUUGCAAUCUGCAGCUGAGUGCAAGGUUGCGAGUUCUAUUCCCUUCCGAGGCAGCCACAUUCCAAUGAGCUGUGAUCAUGAAAGUGCAGAGUGACAUCUGCGUUGCUAUGGCACCAAGUGACAACACUGAUUCGCAGGACAAUGCUCGAGGCAUGUCGGAAUCAGUAUGAAUUCCUGUGUCAUUUCUUAUCACCAGGCUGUGCAGGCUGUUAGACGCUAAAGAAAAAGGUAAUUUGGAGCUGUAUUUGUAAAUUACCCAUCUCAUAUGCAAAAGAGAAAGAAACCGCUUAUCAUGAGAAGGAGUAUUGGAGUAUUGGUAAAUCAGAAAAGAUGCUGUCGCAACCACCCUGAAGUUUCCAUAUUAACUCGCUGUAAUGUCAUGGAUUUUGAUGACAUCUGCUCGGGCCUAGUUAAAUUUUUAUCCGAGUUGUGAAAUGAUACUGUAUCAGUCUGAACUAGCUUGGCGUUUUUCUUUAAUGCCCCUUUAACAAACAUACUUGUUCGCUGCUGUUGACAACUCUGCACUGUGUACACUGCUUUUGUCUGUUCAAGGCUGUUGGCUACUGUGUGAGGGGACAAUUGUUUUCCAUACUUGGCUGUAAAGUCAAAAUUGCACAUACAGUUUUCAAAAGUGUCGAGUGACUCAUUGAUAGUUUUUAAUUGACGCUCUGUUAGUUUCCUUAGGUUUCCUAUUUUGCACUGCUUGUGUUUCUCAUAUGUGUUCUCUGACAUUUUUUGUUCACACUUUGUCCUCAGUAUUUGUAUCUUUGGUUAUUCCUUAUUUUUGUUUGCUUACGUGUUUGCUUAAGUAGGAUAUGUUUAGGUGCUGUGAUUGACUUGUCUUCCCAGUAGUUAUCCUGUCGUGAAAAUUCCCGCGCCGCAGCGCUUGCAACCAAAUCUGGCGUAAAACUGUGCGGUGGCACUGCGGCCGCAAGCACUGUGCUGACUUAACUGAAACCUAGACUUCUACAGGACUUCGCACACAAGGAGUAGACCAGCACCAGUUAUUGCACUCGUGUCCCAUGGAGAGACGAAUGGCUCUCCUAGGGGAAUUGCUGGACUGUCCGUGCACAGAUUGCAUGUUCUUGUGGUGCAUUUUAUUUACUACUGUGUUUGAGUGUUGUAUUUUGCACAUUUUCUUCAGAAUGAAUAAGAAGUAUGCAGUGCCUGCGGGGAUGCCAGACUGAAUGAUUAGCUUUUUCUUAGCGAAUACGAUGGUUUCCUUUUGUCAUCUGUGCCACAGCUGUUUCGUCACCUUUGCAUGACAGAUGGCGACAACAUUAUGUGCUAUUUCUUGGAAGCCAUCAUUGCAACAGACAAGGCAUGCUUCUGGUAAAUUCUGGGUGAAACAGACAAUUAUUGUGCCCAAGCAGAGUAUAAAGCAAACUCUCUGUAAAGGCAUGAGGUAGACAAGCAGCAUUAAAAAUAGGAUAUGAAAGAGUGACUUUUGGAAUGGGACUACCGCGUUGUGUCCUAUCUGCUGCAUGCUUCGUCAUUUAUUCUUUGUUUUGUUUUGUUUUGUUUCUUGCAUUAGGGUGAAUUUGCACCAACUAGCUAAAAAUCAAUUUGCAAAUGCUAUUUCAAAAUUGGAACUUGAACAAGUGAGUGCUUUGCCAGGAUGGCCUGCGUAUCCUACUCAUAGGGUGGCAGAAUGAUUGGCACUUUAAAUUGACAUGCAGUCUCUUGCUCUCCGUUUUACCGGCAGAUCUGGCCGAGACACCCGCUGCCUUGGAGCCUCGGGGGCAGGUGGACACCACUUCCUCCUCUUGUGCUCAGGCCACCAACAACAGCAGCGAUAGCAACUCUGUCGAUGGGACUCCUGUGGCAGUGAGCGAUGAAAGCACCUUUGCUUUUGUCUCAGGCGAUACUGGCAUUUCACUGCUGGCGAUCAAGCAAGAACCGUUGGAGGAACACGAGAAUUCACAGUUUGGAGACCCAGAGGAAGAGCAGCUGCCCUGCGGUACCACGUCACAACAAGCCGAGGAGGACAAUGUCGAGUUGGACGACCACUUGACCAAUUGUUUUGUUUGCGGCGAGCCUUUCGGAGCAAAUCAUCUGUUGAGGCGCGCUGCCUAUCACGCGGAGCAUCGACUUUGCUAUACGUGCCACCUGUGUCCGUUGAGGUUUGGCAAGCUGUGCCUGCUUACACGGCAUCUGAAACAACACAGCACCAGCCACUAGUACCAGCAGUUGCAUGUUUUUAAGCUGGGGGCUCUCGAGCUCCAUUGGCUUGCAGAACUGCGCACAUUCCCUGAGCAUUGAGAAACGCCAUGAAUACAGUAUUGGGUGUCCUUUUCUCAUUAUUCUCACCCAUUGAUCGAAUUAAUGUUCACACUUACCUAAUUGAUUAGUUAUGGAAUGCUCUUUGCAUAUUUGACUUGUUAUGUAAUGCUCUUUGCAUAGAACUUUGUAACGGUCUUGCUAAAGAAAAUCUGGUGAUAACGUCUGCAUACGUUGUCAGUAUGCUGGUUAAACCUGCCUGGAAAUCGCUGGGGAGCAAUAGGUACAUGGAUUUCUUUAAAACUUGUUCUCCUGUCUUUGAACAUCGCUGCAGCUUGUUUCGUGAACCUCGUUUAAGCUAACUUGUCGUUGCGAAUUUAUGCUAUUGUGUCGAUUAACAUCGUUUGACUUCCUAAUUGCAACUGUUCGAUGAUUCUGAGAGCACUGGGAAAAAAAAAAGAUUUUUUUGGACAUCGUAAAUCAUUUUGUGUGAAGAUUGUUGCUGCCUAUAUGCUAUCCAGAUUUAGUGUCGUACAUUCGAUAAAAUGUUGUAUUUAUUAAUUUGCCAGAGAAUAAACAAAAGUUGAAAUUCACUGCAGUACAUUGACUUUGUCUCUUUAGAUUUAUUAUUAAGUACAGUUUACAGAAACGUGACGCUGUUCUUCAUUGCUGAGUUGCAUAGUUGUAAAUUUUGGUUCAGUUUCCUGAAGUUUAGUAAUUUUUAAAAAAUUUUCAAUUAGAAUUCACAGCCUAAAUGAGAAAUAUGCUUCCCACAGUCACUAGGUUUUAACUUUUUCUUUUAAGUGUUACAUACCUCGGCAUAAUCAGUGCAGUAGUCGCUGAGGAAAACGAUUUCUCCUUUCCUGCGUGUUUAAAUAGAAGCUCCCGAGCUAAAGCUUCCUCUUAAGGUAUGAUCCAGUCAUUCUUGUCGUGGUCCGUGCAUACAGCUGCCCGCCGCAUGCGUACAGUAAAACCUUGCUAAUGCGUACCCGCUCAAGUAUUUCAGGUUUAAAUAUAGUUGCCAUGAAUCCCCUGCCCUGUCAUUAUUGAUUCUAAUGUACUAUUGGCUGACCGCUUAAACCGUAGUCGCUUAACGCAUGCCAAAUGGUUAGAGCGUAGUAUUUACUUCAUUUUUGGCACGUGCAUGCGUGGAAUCGGCUGAAUGUCAUGCUUGUAGACCAUAGAUAGCGAAAUUGCGGCACAUGGACCUUUCCCAGACUGCAAUCUCCACUGACAGUGAUGUCAAAACAUGGUAGCCAUGACGUGUUUCUGGCUCCCAUAGCUUCCAGCGCUUUUACAUCAUCUUCAUGGAUGAUGACGCGGAUGAUGGCACUUCCGUAUCCGACGUGGCUAGUACGUUGACCGUCACGAAGGCAUUCGCAGAGGAGUGGGGCCUAACGGAGAAACUGGCUCGCGGCCUUGCUGAGUUUGAGGAUGCCAUAGUCGCUGCAAGGCCGCUACGGCGGCAAGUGAAAAUCACAGAUUUUUUUGCUGCCUGCUCGCAAAUAAAACUUGUCUGCAUGUUUAUUUGAGUGAGAAUUGUCAUGCUUUUGUGGCCAUUAAGUCUGUAGCAGCUCAUCUGCCAUUAUCGGCUAAAUGGUACGUCGCUUAGUGCGUACCUGAUCCACAUUCCCCACUAACUAUGUAAUAACGAGGUUUUACUGUAAUGUAGUAGUAAUCGUGGGAUUGUGGUGCAGUAUAAGUAGUGGGAUUCACAACAUACUGCCCCUACAAUGCUAGAUUCAAUUACAGCAUGUUUUGUCAGAAAAGCUGCCACAAACGCAAUAAUCUCCUACGUUCUUCAAUAUUGCCACUAAUUCAUAAACAUACAUUUUUUAACUGAUCUGACCGGCCAUGGCCUUUUGUUGUAGCUUCAUCUUUGUGAUAUUUGCAUUUAUAUGUAUGAUGGUUUGAAGUGUAUUGUUAUGUUACAGAUGCUCAUAUUGUGUCCUGUUGAGCAUAUUGUUUAUAUAUUGCUGUUUUAAUGUGCUUUCAUUUAUAACUGUUUUUAUUUGUGUUGAUGUUAUUGAAAUUGCAGCUUAUGCAAACUGCUUACCUGCAUCAGUCAUGUUGUGAAACCCUGCUAGCAAAAUCAGGAAAAAAAGUAUGUUCUGAAAGCAUAAGCUGAAACAAACUAUACUUGGGAGGUUGAAUAGCGGGUAAACUGAUGCUGUUGCUUUAAAAAAGCACCAACAUGACAUUUCUUAUUUUUUAUUUUUGCCAUAAAUAAAGGUCCUUGUUCUCGAAA
Molecule: long non-coding RNA, 13857 nt
Organism: Dermacentor silvarum
Lineage: Eukaryota; Metazoa; Arthropoda; Arachnida; Ixodida; Ixodidae
Exons: 3
Source: RefSeq, a predicted model, not a curated record